This 1276-nucleotide long non-coding RNA is filed under the name Oreochromis niloticus (Nile tilapia). Its description in RNAcentral is "lncRNA (ENSONIG00000028033.1)". Lineage: Eukaryota; Metazoa; Chordata; Actinopteri; Cichliformes; Cichlidae. The record is from RNAcentral.
CGUCAUUCUGAAAAUGCGCGAACAGAGUAAUAUCCUCCUCUCUGCUCCUUAAUGCGCCCUGGUCGUUAUAAGUGUUGCACUAGUUUAAAAGUUUAAUGUUAUUAAUAAUUGAUUACAACAAACAGUAAUUGUCACUGAGCUCAUUUUAUUUACAGGCAUUUUUAACAUGUAUGAACAUAACGCUAACUUGGAACAAUACUACAUGGAUAUUUAUUUGGUAGCAAUAAAGUAAAUAAGAAUAACAAAUAAACAAGAAUAUUUAAAAUACACAGUAUGUAAAGAUGAAAAAACAAUAUUUACAGUUGUUCACACAGGGUUAACCAGAGUGACCUGUUCCUGGACCAUUUCUUGUACAACUGUAAUAGAUUACAGAUAGAAGUCUCUGGUACUGUUGCUGAAUCUGCCUGAGCAAGAUCAGACAUGGAUGGGGUGCUGCAACUGAGACCUGCGGUUUGUCUUUUCUGGUGAGCGAGUGAAGAAUCACACACACUGUCCACGGCAUCGUCCAUCCACAGGGCUUGCAGGGCUGGCUCACUCAACGGCUGCAAGCAGAUGCAUGGAAGAGCCAGUGUUGGUGAAAGCACUUUGGAAGCAUGAACCUGUUAAACUGCAAAACUCCUCAAGUAAGAAAAUGUAGCGAAUGAGAAACAUUUCACAUUUUUCUCCAUGUCCACUUUUAUAUUUGUGUUCUAUAUGAUCACUUGGGGAGUAACUUUACAGCAACACUGCAGAAAUGACUGACCAGAGAAAAAAAGCCUGAACUGCAUAACUCUGCAUUAGAUCCCAGAUGUUUUUUGAUCUUCAGUUUUUCACUGUGAACACUUAGUGACUGUCAAUGAAGUGACUGCUCAUUAUUGGCAGAUUUUCUAUCAUUAAAAUGAACUGAAAUCCCAGACUUGAGUGUUGAAAUAAAGUAAAUAAGUCACAAUGAAACACUGGAAAUGAGGUGACUGAUUAAAAUCUUUAGCGCUGAUUCAUUUAUUGUAAAGAGACGUGAAAUGCUCAGUGUUCCCUCUCUGCUCCAUAACGUUGUGAGACCUACACUGAUGUUGAAAUAGCUGUCGUCUCAGUGUUCAGCACUAACCUGUCAUAAUCUAAAUUGCGUUUAAGUAACAGAAGUAAUAGCAGUACAACACAUUUAACAACAGGAGGCGUCAUCGUGACACCAACCUGAGACAACAGCAAUAAUGGAAAAGACAUAAUUUUUUGGAGAAGUCAGAGAGUUAAUUUUCUUCUAAUUUCUCGUGUAAUUGUAAGUAAGAUUUGACAAAACAAG